UACGUAGGAUCCUAGCGUUGUCCGGAUUUACUGGGUGUAAAGGGUGCGCAGGCGGACUUAUAAGUCAGUGGUGAAAUCUCGGCGCUUAACGCCGAAACUGCCUUUGAUACUAUAAGUCUUGAGUUUGGUAGAGAUCCGUGGAAUUCCGAGUGUAGCAGUGAAAUGUGUAGAUAUUCGGAAGAACACCAGCGGCGAAGGCAGCGGAUUGGGCCAAUACUUACGCUCAGGCACGAAAGCAUGGGGAUCAAACAGG
Molecule: ribosomal RNA, 253 nt
Filed under: uncultured bacterium
Lineage: Bacteria
Description: partial 16S ribosomal RNA
Rfam family: Bacterial small subunit ribosomal RNA
Source: RNAcentral